GGCUCAGGAUGAACGCUAGCGGCAGGCUUAAUACAUGCAAGUCGAACGGCAGCACAGUGUAGCAAUACAUGGGUGGCGAGUGGCGCACGGGUGCGUAACACGUAUGCAAUUUGCCAAUAACUGGGGGAUAGCCCUCCGAAAGGAGGAUUAAUACCCCAUAACAUAAUGAAGAGGCAUCUCUUUAUUAUUAAAUCUCCGGAGGUUAUUGAUGAGCAUGCGCCCGAUUAGCUAGUUGGUGAGGUAACGGCUCACCAAGGCAACGAUCGGUAGGGGGUCUGAGAGGAUGAUCCCCCACACGGGUACUGAGACACGGACCCGACUCCUACGGGAGGCAGCAGUAAGGAAUAUUGGACAAUGGAGGCAACUCUGAUCCAGCCAUGCCGCGUGAAGGAUGAAGGCGCUACGCGUUGUAAACUUCUUUUCUGCUAGAAAAAACUCUUGGUUUCGUACCGAGACUGAUUGUACAGCAGGAAUAAGCAUCGGCUAACUUCGUGCCAGCAGCCGCGGUAAUACGAAGGAUGCAAGCGUUAUCCGGAAUCACUGGGUUUAAAGGGUGUGCAGGUGGGGUAAUAAGUCAGUGGUGAAAGCCCCCGACUCAAUCGGGGAACUGCCAUAGAUACUGUUAUUCUUGAGUGUGGUUGAGGCGGAUGGAAUAUGACAUGUAGCGGUGAAAUGCUUAGAUAUGUCAUAGAACACCGAUCGCGAAGGCAGUCCGCCAAACCAUUACUGACACUGAAACACGAAAGUGCGGGGAUCAAACAGGAUUAGAUACCCUGGUAGUCCGCACCGUAAACGAUGAUCACUCGUUGUUGGCGAUACACAGUCAGCGACUAAGCGAAAGCAUUAAGUGAUCCACCUGGGAAGUACGACCGCAAGGUUGAAACUCAAAG
This 890-nucleotide ribosomal RNA is filed under the name uncultured bacterium. RNAcentral's name for it is "bacterial SSU rRNA". It matches the Rfam family "Bacterial small subunit ribosomal RNA", at positions 21 to 906 of the family's 1533-position model. The record is from RNAcentral.